This 478-nucleotide ribosomal RNA is filed under the name uncultured bacterium. Its description in RNAcentral is "partial 16S ribosomal RNA". It matches the Rfam family "Bacterial small subunit ribosomal RNA", at positions 28 to 507 of the family's 1533-position model. The record is from RNAcentral.
GAUGAACGCUGGCGGCGUGCUUAACACAUGCAAGUCGAACGGGAAUUCUUUUAUUGAACCUUCGGUCGAUUUAAUUUAAUUCUAGUGGCGGACGGGUGAGUAACGCGUGGGUAACCUGCCUUAUACAGGGGGAUAACAGUCAGAAAUGGCUGCUAAUACCGCAUAAGCGCACAGAGCUGCAUGGCUCAGUGUGAAAAACUCCGGUGGUAUAAGAUGGACCCGCGUUGGAUUAGCUUGUUGGCAGGGUAACGGCCUACCAAGGCGACGAUCCGUAGCCGGCCUGAGAGGGUGAACGGCCACAUUGGGACUGAGACACGGCCCAGACUCCUACGGGAGGCAGCAGUGGGGAAUAUUGCACAAUGGGGGAAACCCUGAUGCAGCGACGCCGCGUGAAGGAAGAAGUAUCUCGGUAUGUAAACUUCUAUCAGCAGGGAAGAUAGUGACGGUACCUGACUAAGAAGCCCCGGCUAACUACGUG